UCCCUCCUGCUGUACCCACCUGCCCCCCUACAUAUGCCGGGAAAAUGAGAAUAGAUUGGCCCAUCCGUGGAUGAUGCCAGGUGGCAUUUAGACCCCCGAGAAGAUACGAGUGCAGUCUAUCUACCUCACAGUGACAGACGUUGGGCCUGGAGAGAGAGGAAAAGAAAAAAGGAAGCAAGUCGGAAAGGAUGAAAACGGAGGAGGGGGAAAGCAGAAAAACCCUAAGCAAAAGCCAUGACUUCCUGCCAUCUGGUAUGCCAAUGACCAUGAUACCCCUGGCACAGGAGUGGAACGGUUUCUACAGGCCCAGAAUGACCCCUUAGUGGCUAAUGUUAUAUGAUGAGGCUUUUUCAGGGUGAUUAAUGAAAAGGAUGGGGAGGACAAGAGAUGGAGAGAUAGAAGGUGAAGGAAUGGGGGAAGGGUGAUGGUGACAAAUCGUUUGGGGGUUCUUCAAAACAACACUGGCAGAUAGAUGGUGGCAGUGUGUGUCUUUCAUUAUCAGUGACCCGCUGUUCAAUCAACGCCAGAGAAAGACGGCCACAGUCCAGAGAACUGGGCUACAGGACAAAGUAUCAUCCCAUCAUCACUCAAGUCCCCCUCUCUUAACACAUACGCACACACACACAUAUAUCUUCUCAAACACUCGCCUCUACCCCUCAAACGACCCCACACACAUUGAUGAGAUGUGAGGGUUCUGACCCCAGACUGGAUGUGCCCUCUUGCCCCUCAGGACCCAAAGAAAGGGCGCCAUCCAUGCAGGUGCCAUGGUAACACUGUCGUGGCAGGUCGAGUCUCAUGAACGAUGAUGCUGGUGAUGUCAUUAACCCGGUGGGAGGAGCAUCCCACCAGUUUUCCCAUAAUCACCAGCUGCCUCUUUCCAUUAGCAUUCAAAAUAAUUCCUAUUGCUUUAAUUCCUACCGUAUUUAAAAAUAUAUAUAUAUAUUUCAAGCCCCUUACAGCAUAUGUAGCAAUAUUUCAAAUUAUUUCAAAUUAUAUUAAACAGACUUAAAAUAUCAAGUGAAUUCUCAUAUAACUUUAAAAAAUGAAGUUGAAAUUGGUUAAAUUAAUUUGAUGAGUUAAAGUGAUGGAAAACCUUGUUACUAAUUGAUCAUAUCAUUUUUUAUUUUUUUGCAGGGGGCUGCA
This is a long non-coding RNA of Carassius gibelio (silver crucian carp), 1143 nucleotides long. RefSeq lists it as uncharacterized. The record is from RefSeq and is a predicted model, not a curated record. The transcript is spliced from 3 exons. NCBI's taxonomy places the organism in Eukaryota, Metazoa, Chordata, Actinopteri, Cypriniformes, Cyprinidae.